UUUCCAGCAGCCGCGGUAAUACGAAGGGUGCAAGCGUUAAUCGGAAUUACUGGGCGUAAAGCGUGCGUAGGUGGUUUCUUAAGUCUGCUGUGAAAGCCCUGGGCUCAACCUGGGAAUGGCGGUGGAUACUGAGGAGCUAGAGUGCGGUAGAGGAGGGUGGAAUUCCCGGUGUAGCGGUGAAAUGCGUAGAGAUCGGGAGGAACAUCAGUGGCGAAGGCGGCCCUCUGGACCAGCACUGACGCUGAGGCACGAAAGCGUGGGGAGCAAACAGGAUUAGAAACCCCCGUAGUCC
RNAcentral lists this ribosomal RNA (292 nucleotides) under uncultured bacterium. RNAcentral's name for it is "partial 16S ribosomal RNA". It matches the Rfam family "Bacterial small subunit ribosomal RNA", at positions 505 to 796 of the family's 1533-position model. The record is from RNAcentral.